Ictalurus furcatus (blue catfish) is the source of this 2734-nucleotide long non-coding RNA. RefSeq lists it as uncharacterized. NCBI's taxonomy places the organism in Eukaryota, Metazoa, Chordata, Actinopteri, Siluriformes, Ictaluridae. The record is from RefSeq and is a predicted model, not a curated record. The transcript has 5 exons.
UCAACCGGAAGCGGUAAAAAAAAAAAAAAAAAUCUGGUCAAAAUAAAAGUCCAGGGACAAAAAAAAAAUUAUAAUAAUAAUACUCUGCUGAAGAAAAUCUAUCCGCCAAAAGACAAGCCGGGCUGAACAAAUUGGUAGAGAAUAUUAAAAUGGAUGGUGAGACACAAACAUGUUCUUCUGUUCGAGGUUCAUCUGUCCAAGAUCCUAAAACACAGCCUGUUUGAACUGCCUGAAACUGCUUCUCAUCGAGGACGAGUCUGCGAGUGUUGUCUAAUUUCCACGAUAAUUUGGCGUCUCCUGGGUGGGCUGCGCGAGUCUUUUCAGCUUUUCUGGACAACAAGUAAACCGGAGGACGCUCGUGGAAAAGUUUCACCCUGAGACCGUGUUGACACGCAGGUUGUUUGCUCUUUAUUGUGCAGCGUGAAAGACCAAUGCAGCCUUACCACUGACUGGUAGGAAUCAUCAAGAAUUUAGAAUUAGAAUUUUAUAAAGUCAUUGUGUAUUGGUGUCUGUAUGGAAGGGAGUCAAUGAUGAAUGUUAUGUUAGAAGUGGCUGGAGAAGGAGGCCCUAUGCAAGUUCACAGACUCUGGGCAUUGGAAGACAUCAGGAGCAGCAUGGCGCAUCUGCCGGCGCUCCACAAAGUAGAAGGACGAAAGUUUGGGGAUGAACUUCAAAUAUUCUGCAGAGAAUUCAGACCCACCACUCCUGAACUACGAUGACUGCCCAUGGCAAAACUUGGCACGGACUGGGUCAAGGUUUCAAGUGAAUUCCCAGAGGAUGUUGUCCGCCUGAUCAACCCACAGUGGGAUGAUGAAGUCAACACAAGGUACAGAGCACAAAUCACGGUGCUCCAGCAGAGGCUGACGAACACCUUUCCUGUGCGAAUGGACAUGACAAAAAUAGCGAUGUGUAAACAACAAGACUCAGAGACUGUAUCACAGCACCUGUCCAGGCUCACUGAGAUCCAUGACGCAAACUCAGGCUUGGAGAAACCCGACGCUCUGGCAGAUGGGCAGGCGGCCAUCACAGCAUGGGAGGCACAUCUCAGAAACAGCUUUAUGAAUGGCAUGAAACCAGAAAUUGCCGCUAUAAUCAAACAACAAUGUAUCACCUGGGACACCGGAAGCCUCACCCAAGUGGAAAGGUAUGCAAUCCACACGCAGAAGCUCCUACGAGAGGCAAAGGAAAGAAACAUGGAGAGGAGAGGAAGACCAAAAGCACACAGACGAGGAAGACCCAGCCGCCAGGCUAUGGUCCAAAAUUAAACUGUUAUAACUGUGGAAAAGUUGGACAUUUUGCAAGAGACUCUCCAGAGCAGAAGUGAACUGACGGGUGGAACUAAGGGAAGGGUGAGGCACCUGGGAACAGAAGAGGUGACAUCAGACACCCAAACUAUCAGUUAGCUCACAAAGAACAGGAAUAUAUGCACACAUCCACAUCCAACAUUAGUCAGACUGACAAUUCACAAAUGUCUGAACCAGUCAUGACCCUUAACCUUUUAAAGUAUAAUGCCUCUCCUUUUACACACUUACCAUGUAUAUCUCUUGUAGUUAAUGGGCAAAGUGUCACAUUUUUGGUAGAUUUAGGAGCAACGUAUUCAGUAAUAAAACACUCCGAAUUAAAAGAAUCCCCGAAAAUGAGUUCACAGCCACUGCACUCCAUGGGGGGUAACUCAUGACAUUUCUGCAAAGGGAAAGAAACUCUCAGCUGACAAAGUAUCUGCAAUCCAGAAGAUUCCCAAGACCCUGACAAAGAAACAGGUCCUAUUUAUCCUAGGUAUGUGUUAGUAUCGCAGAACUUUCAUUCUAAACUAUUCUAUUCUAGAAGCACCAUUCAGAGAGAUGGCAUAUGUGACAGGUUGGACAGCUCAUUCUCAGGUAAGUUGGAUCCAGUUGCUGCAGAGUUUCCCCCGUGGGUAUGUGCAUUAGCAGCAGCUGAGAAAGCUGUGAUGGCAUCCAGAGACCUGGUAGGUUACACAGAACUGAACCUCUUGGUUCCACAUGAGGUGUUGUUACGCCUACUUGAACAGAAAACCUCACACCUGUCCACCCAACGGUGGCUGCACCAUAACACUAUACUACUAGACAUGCCAAAUGUCACUAUUAAACAAUGUACUGUCCUUAACCCUGCUACUCUCCUUCCAACAGAGGGAGACGGGGAACCACAUGACUGUGUUGUACUGACUAACGAACUCUGCUCCCCUAGAGUCGACCUGAAGGAUGUUCCAUUGGAAAACCCAGAUCUAAUCCUUUUUGUGGAUGGGUCUGCGUCACGUGAUCCAGAGACAGCUUUCAGACCUCCAAGCACAAGCUACAGACGAGGAAAAGGCUGUGUGGCGCAAAGCAGACUGCACGGUUGUUGACGGAGUUUGGCGAUGCCCCCAGGACUGUCCUUGUCUUCAAAGUUGACGCAUGGCAGGGACCAUGCGUCAAAAGGGGAAAUGAUAGUUGCGAUAAAGCAUUGGUUUCUCUAAUUACUCUAAAUAAAAAUUGUUUACACUGUUUGCGCAACUCAUAACGUGGGUUGAGGUUUGCAUGUAGAGAAGGCCAUGUCCCUACGUCCAAACAGGACUCAGAUGCGGUAGUGAUAAUGAUAAUCUCCAGCGUCAUGCUCUGCGUUUCAUAUAUAUAGUAGUGGUUUAGUACAAGGGCUUCAGAGCGCACUCAUUAUUCUAUCCUGCUUUAUUCUAUCCUGUAUUAACCAUCUUUCUGUAAUAAACCUUUUUUUAACUUCA